GUCGAGAAUAAUUCACAAUGGGGGAAACCCUGAUGGUGCAACGCCGCGUGGAGGAUGAAGGUCUUCGGAUUGUAAACUCCUGUCAUCUGGGAGUAAGACCUGACGGUGAAUAGCCGGCAGGGUUGAUAGUACCAGAAGAGGAAGGGACGGCUAACUUCGUGCCAGCAGCCGCGGUAAUACGAAGGUCCCAAGCGUUGUUCGGAAUCACUGGGCGUAAAGGGAGCGUAGGCGGCGUGGUAAGUCAGAUGUGAAAUCCCGGGGCUCAACCCCGGAACUGCAUCCGAUACUGCCAUGCUUGAGGGUUGGAGAGGUAGCUGGAAUUCUCGGUGUAGCAGUGAAAUGCGUGGAUAUCGAGAGGAACACUCGUGGCGAAGGCGAGUUACUGGACAGCAUCUGACGCUGAGGCACGAAGGCCAGGGGAGCGAAAGGGAUUAGAUACCCUGGUAGUCC
RNAcentral lists this ribosomal RNA (450 nucleotides) under uncultured bacterium. RNAcentral describes it as "partial 16S ribosomal RNA". It matches the Rfam family "Bacterial small subunit ribosomal RNA", at positions 354 to 796 of the family's 1533-position model. The record is from RNAcentral.